This 980-nucleotide long non-coding RNA is filed under the name Numida meleagris (helmeted guineafowl). RNAcentral's name for it is "lncRNA (ENSNMEG00000020553.1)". Lineage: Eukaryota; Metazoa; Chordata; Aves; Galliformes; Numididae. The record is from RNAcentral.
AUGUGGAUGGCACACAAAUGGCCAGAAACAAACAUACAGUAUAAAAGAAUGUUGAACAUAAUGAGAGAAAGAAAGGAAUGUGAAUCAGGGCUGGAAAAGACUGGGGUCCACCUCAAAAAAUGUCUGAAAUCUCAGAGCUUGAGUCACACUGUCUCCUUUACAUCCAUGUAUUACCUUUGCCAGAAGACGAGAAGAGAUGUAGAGGCCGUCAGUCCACGUCAAGUGCCACGCUAGAAGAAAAAAAGGAGGAAAAAAUACCAUUGCAUGUGAAUCCUUGUGGUAACUGAGGCACUCUUCUGCAAUGAGAGGAUUAACAUUGGUUCAUUUCACUGCUCAACUUGUUUUGAAGGAGAAAAAAGUCUUCCCUAGGAGACCAUGGAGAUAGUACCAAAACAGACAGAUAGAGGGACUCUCCUGCAUGCGUAGGCAAAGUAUAUAAUCAUCUUGUAUAAGACAUAUAUUUCUUUCCUCAAAAAUUAGUUGAGUCAAAAACCUUCGAUCAAUUAUAUGUUUUGCCAUUUAUAACUCAUAGAAUACUUUAUUAAUAUUACUUGCAUAAAGUUUACAUCAAUCGUGACCAUAAAGGAUAAACAUGUUUUUAUUAAAAUGUUGUCUUAAGUUUACCAAGGAUCUUGGUCUCUAUCUUGCAGGGACCUGCUUCUCGUACAUCUCAGCACACACCAGUGUUUCGUAUCACAGAUUUGUCGGCAUUGGAAGAUCUAAAGAUCAUCUAGUGCAACCCCUCUGCUAAAGCAGGUUCCCUAGAGUAGGUUGCAGAGGACCUCUAUCUUUUCUGUCUGCUUUCCUACUAGCACAGUAUGAUGUCCUUCAAAGAGAAACGCAAAGCUUUCUGUUUGUGCUUCCCCUUUUAGAUGACUUGAUCAUUUCAAGCUAGUUGAGAGUGGUUCCUUUUUUUUCCUCAUGAAAAUUUCUGAUCAUGAGGAAAAUAUACAAUAAAGUACUAUUCUGACCGCUGGCCA